This 1177-nucleotide long non-coding RNA is filed under the name Sus scrofa (pig). RNAcentral describes it as "lncRNA (ENSSSCG00070011643.1)". Lineage: Eukaryota; Metazoa; Chordata; Mammalia; Artiodactyla; Suidae. The record is from RNAcentral.
CGGCGGCCGCGUGCUUGCCAGGAAGGCCCGGGGCUUGAGGCCCUGGAAGGCCUGGCCCGUUCAGGAGUCCCGGCUGUUUGGGGGAAUGUCCCACGCCCUGUGGGGAUUUGAGCCGUGUCUCCCGGCCGACUUGGGUGUCCCGGUUGGUGUGUGGUCGGGACUGGGAGGGGCUUGGUGCGGGCGGGAACCGCCGGGUAGCGACCACGUCUCGUCAGGGGGUUCGUGCCUGCUGCUGGGCACGGGAACGGCUCCGGGGGGGUCUUACGGGCGCUGAGGGGAUUCCGCAUCAUGGAGAGGUCAAGGGGAGUUGGUGGCCGUCACCCUUCGUCAGGGCAGGGUAGCAUCAGUGCUCCCGUGCUGGGGUUCCUGGAGAGCCGGCUGGCACGGACAGACUCUUGUGAGGGCAAGUGGCUGAUCGUGCGUCGGAUGGGUCCAGCAAAGGAGAGAAAGCUUCGGUGCGCGCGCGCUCGCCAGGGAAAGGGUGACAGCGGGUGGGACCGAGAGGGAGAGAGAGAGAGGGAGAGAACAAAGGAAGAGAGAGGGUUUCCGCAGGGGCGGUGAGUCCUGGCGGAAGUCCUGAGGCAGAGGAGGUGCCAGGGGUUUGGGUUUCCCGGUCGUGUCGGGGGUGUGGCGCAGGUUGCCCCAGUGGGCCUGAAUGUGCCUCCGUGGGGCACCUUGUUGCCGUGUUGGGGGGCGGGGAGCCGGCCUUGGGGAUCCAUCUUUCGGGCCCUGGGACGUGGGAGAAGAAUGCCGGGGCCUCUCUCUGUGCCCCUGGCACGCCUCUGUGCAGGCCGGGCCUGCACCACCCCCCGCGCCCGUCCCCCAGGCAGGGUCCGUGUGGCUGCAGACACCCAGAGAGAGGGGAGGCUGGGGAGGCUGGGGAGCCGUGGCAGCCCGAUGCAGUGCGGGUCUCCAGGUGGAGGGGCCCUGGUCCCCUGGCGCCAGCGUGGCCCUUCCUCCUUGUGGAAACCCUUGUGGUGUGUGUGCUCUCUCGCCCUGACCCAGGAGAGCAGCAUGGCGGACCCCUGAUCUUGUGGCGUGCCACCGCGCGAGGCCGAGGAGCUCCCGCAGACCAGUGGGCGUGGCGUCCUUGUCGCGGCUCUGUGGAGACCUGGCGAUGGAGAGCAGCAUGGCGGACCCCUGAUCUUGUGGCGUGCCACCGCGCGAGGCCGAGAGC